RNAcentral lists this ribosomal RNA (677 nucleotides) under Tricholoma matsutake. RNAcentral describes it as "eukaryotic LSU rRNA". The stretch from base 305 to 458 matches the Rfam family "5.8S ribosomal RNA". The record is from RNAcentral. Lineage: Eukaryota; Fungi; Basidiomycota; Agaricomycetes; Agaricales; Tricholomataceae.
UAGAGGAAGUAAAAUUGGUACCAAGGUUUCGGUAGGGGACCUUGGGGAAGGUUCAUUAUGGAUUAAAGUUGGGUUAGGUGGUCGCGGGUUUUCGGGGCCAGGGCCACCCCGGACGCCAUUUUUUUCACCACCUGUGCACAUUUUGUAGGCUUGGAUAAAUAUGUCUCGAGGAAGCUCGGUUUGAGGACUGCCGUGCUGCAAAAGCCAGGCUUUCCUUGUAUUUUUCCAGCCUAUGCAUUUUAUUAUACACUCGGUAUGUCAUGGAAUGUUAUUUGGUUGGCUUAAUUGCCAGUAAACCUUAUACAACUUUCAACAACGGAUCUCUUGGCUCUCGCAUCGAUGAAGAACGCAGCGAAAUGCGAUAAGUAAUGUGAAUUGCAGAAUUCAGUGAAUCAUCGAAUCUUUGAACGCACCUUGCGCUCCUUGGUAUUCCGAGGAGCAUGCCUGUUUGAGUGUCAUGAAAUUCUCAACCUUUUCAGCUUUUUGUUGAAUAGGCUUGGAUUUUGGGAGUUGUUGCAGGCUGCUCAGAAGUCUGCUCUCCUUAAAUGUAUUAGCGGGGCCCUUGUUGUCUAGCAUUUGGUGUGAUAAUUAUCUACGCCAUUGUGAACAAUGUAAUAGGUCGGCUUCUAAUCGUCUCGUAAAGAGACAAUCUCUGACAUUUGACCUCAAAUCAGUAG